Gallus gallus (chicken) is the source of this 9475-nucleotide long non-coding RNA. RefSeq lists it as uncharacterized. The record is from RefSeq and is a predicted model, not a curated record. Lineage: Eukaryota; Metazoa; Chordata; Aves; Galliformes; Phasianidae. The transcript is spliced from 2 exons.
ACUGCACGUAAGACUACCGCUUGUAGAUGCAGGCGGACUCAAUGCAGAGUGACUGGCGAGGAAACUCCACUUCUUUGCAUGUGCCUGUUACUGCCUGAAGGACCAAUGAGUGCAGACACUGGCAGUCUCCCUUUGCUGAGCAGUUAGAAGAGAGGGACGCCACCUCUGCACGUGUGCGCACGUGCAUGCUACGUCUGGAGAAGUCCUGCUGCGGAAUGCUGCUCCCCCCAUCACCAUGCGUCCCUUCAUGCCUACCCCCGCAGUGCACCGCUCUGAGAACCUUCUGCAGCACGCAGCAGCAGUGGCACCAGUGCCCUAUGCCCCGGGAAGAGGCAGACGAGUACCGUACUGCACGUGCCAAGGGGAUCAGGACGCCCCGUUCUAGCGGACCGCUGCCCCUUUCCAGGACUGCCUAACUGAUGUUGGAUUAAACAUCGUGAUUUAGAGAGCCAGAACCCUCUGUGAGUAGAAAACAGUAACGACUGUGGAUGCACGCCCAGCAGUGCAAAUAGAGCUUGCCUGUAUAAGACAAGUGGACCAUCUGUUUCAGACUGCUUUUUAUUAAGUAGCAUAACACCACAUCUCUAAUGCACAAAUGAUUAACUAUACUACAUCUUGUCUCUAAAAUAAUGAAAGGGAUAGAAUAUGUUCACUAUCGAAAGAAAAGAACUGUUCUACAUAGAAAGUAAGUAAUUUCCUGGCAAAAAAAAAGAAACAGUCUUUUACCAACAGAUACAAUUUCAACUAAAGUUAUAAAUAUAUGAAAAACUGUUCUCUAAUACUAUGGAAAAUAAUAAAAUCACCUUGCAGUCAAAAAUUAUUUCAACAGCUCUUGUUAUGAGUUAAUGUUGCUCAUCGCUCCGUUCAGAUGCAGGACAACUGGCUGUAUACUUUUUCUUCAAGCCUUUCAAAUAUAUUUGCAAGCUAUCCGAAUCCAAUCGCGAAUUUCUAGCAGUCUGAACCAAUCUCAUAGCUAAGUGGUAUACAGCUCUGUGUUUCAUCAUCUCAGGAGUGGUUCUCUGUCUGUGCUGUUCUUAAAAGCAUACACAUACUUUAAAAUAGGAAAUUAAUAACUUUCUAUUAUUAAAAUAUAAGCAUUGAAGGGCUUUUUUUCCACGCUAUUUCUGAUCUGCUGAUUCUUGUUGGUACACCAAAAUUACAGCCAGUACUCCUGAACCCCAAAGGCUGCUUUCUAUUGUCACCUAACAAAGGCCUUUACCAAAAUCUCUUACAAGUACUUUCAGAAAUCAAAAUGUUACUUUCUUGAUAACAUCUGUCAUCAUAAAACCCUAUGUAGUGUUUAUGCUGUAAUCUUUCAGAAACAUUUAAAAUAAACCAGAGUUUUGCAAAAACUGAGAAUGACAGCAGUAUACAUUUAUAAAUAGCUGCUACAUACCAAAAUUUGUUUUGCAAUAUGGUUUGUGAUUGCCUUUGCAUCCAAAAUUAUGGAUGGUGGUAGAGAGGAAACUUCUGCAGCUUUUAAUCCUAAACAAAGGAAACACAAAUCAGGAUCUAUGAUAACAUUUUAUCCUACCCUCCACAGUAUUUAUUCUAUAAUCAGCUCAUUUUAAAGGGUAAAAUAUUCAUCUAAAAAGUUAUUUUGAUAUCAUUUUUCUGUCUCUUUUUCCAUGAAUACUGUUUUAAGAGUUACUGAAUAAAAUGUCUACUUUGUUACAAUGUGGCCCCUAAAAUAUAAUUCCAUGUUAAGUUACUGCUGGCACUAAGUGGGCAGGAUCAGAUACUCCAAAGGAUGAAGGAAGAAUGGCACAGCAGUCAUGAUAGCUUUCUGUUUUGUUUUUUCAAGUUCGGGUUCUGCCAAAUGUACUCACUCCUGAAUGUGGGUAUUUAGUAGAUGUGGGUGUCAUUUUCCAACUUCUGUUCUUUGCCAGCUGCAAAGCUGUCAGGUAUUUCUUUUAAUUAUUUUUUUUUCAAACUUUUGUCUCUGACUCCGGCUGUUCAGAGGAAAUUCUGUGCUUCAGCAGGUGUUCUAAUAAUGCAGGGUUAGAAAUGGUCAAGAAGAGCCCCUGCACUUUUUAUUUAUUUAUUUAUUUUAAUUAAAUACAGCAUUAUUGAAUUAAGACAAAGCCAAGAGACAGCAACACAGAGUUACCAAAGGUCUCCUGUUCACAGAAUCACAGAGUUGUAGGGGUUGGAAGGGACCUCUAGAGGCAUUUUAAGUCCUGUCAAUUCAAGCCAGGUAAGAAUAAUUUGUAGUUUUCAGUCACCACUGGCUUGCAGUAAUCAUGUGCGACUAUUAAAUCUCACCUAAACCACAGGUUCAGCUACAGAAUCUUGCAUUUAGAAAUAUGGAUUUCUACAGCUCUUUAAAUCAUGUAGUUAUACCUUACUGUCACUCACGAUUUGUUGACUCAUAAUCCUUUAAUUUGCACACUCUUCUACUAAGUUAGUCACAGUGGAAUAUAUUACCAUAGUUCUUUUCCUCUGUAUAUCCUUUCGACAGUGUGUAAGUGUACGUAAUCUUCUCCUUUCCAGCACUGCUUCUCACAUGCUGCACUUCAAAAUGGUAAUUUUCCACAUUGGGAUACAAAGCAUCCAUAUGACACAGUUCCAGGAAAUGUGUUGCAAACAAAGUAAAUGCCUAAAUAAGAAAAAAAAGGAAAAAAAAAUAUGAUUCAAAUGAUCCUUUGAUAAAUUACAACAAAUGAGAAAAAUAGUCUCACAGUUCUCCAAGUUUUUAUCCACAACUCUGAAGAGCCAUAUUUGAACUGCUAAAGUAUGACUAAUGCAAAUAAUGCAAAAAAGCCCUAAGUGAUGAGUUCUAUCAUUGGCAAGCAUGUGUGUUCCCACUUAGGACUCCCCAGCUCUUUUCUCAGCAGAAGGGAAACACCAGAUAGAACAGGAAGUCCAUGAUACUUUUAAAAUGUGACAGGUUAUUCUGAAUGACCAUCAAAUGGGUGCUUUACUUUUUUCAGUGUAUGUUUUUCCAAAGGCACAAGCUACAGAAAACAUGUGAGCUUUCCAGAUAAAACCACAACAGUACUCUGAAUGAACUCAGAUUCAGUUUCUUAUCAAUAAACAUCUGUAAGUUGACAACAAGCUGAGGCUAAUCACAUAACUAGUAACAGAGGAGCAACUUUCAACCCAUCUAAAAUCCUUCGACAUUCUUCUAAACAAACCUCUGACCUAUGUAAUGAAUACCUUGGCUGUGUGGAAAUACUGCAUUAAGUAGUUGUAUGGAACUUCCAUCCCCUUUAACGUUCAAGCAUACAAAGUACUAACUAAGCAAACAUGACGAGGCUGGGUUAGUAUUUUUCUAGAUAAGAAAGCAAGUUUUCAAGCAAGGUGCAGAGAUGGUGACCAGUGACUGGAAAUGCAGAAUAUGUCAGCAUUUUUUUCUGUCACUGUAACUCCUACUGUUCACUGGUUAUGAAAAAUGUCAUAUCUAGGCAAUAAAUCUCUAUAAAAUUUUAUCUAAAUUAUGAGAAACCACAAUACUUACAGUGCAAUAAAAUAAUUAGAAAAAGUUUACACUUUUUUUUUUUUCAGAAUUACCUUCAAAUUCAAGAGAUAUUCACAGGCAGCAUAACAAAUACCAAUACCUUCUUCAGCACUGGUACCUCUGCCAAGUUCAUCAAUUAUGAUGAGUGAUUUGUCGUUAGCAUUUUGUAUGAUGUAUGUUAUCUAGGAAAAUAUUUUAUUAGUUAUCAUUCCUAGGAAAGCAUCUUUUAAAAAUCAUGCUACUAAUUGAAAUACCUUGUGUUAUUCAGAUAAAAAUACAGAAAUGUAAAAGACUCAAGUCAGAUUCAUUAGUUUUACUUUUUCGUACCUUUCAAAUAGCUGUAAAUUCUAAACCAUCAAUGGCUCAAUCCUACAACCCUCCUUCUCUUCUCCACUGAACCAAUGUACUCUUUGCUGGGUAAAAAGCUGGCUGGACAGCUGCACCCCGAGAGUGGUGGCAAAUGGAGUUCAAUCCAGGCAGUGUCUGGUCACUAGUGAUAUUCCUCAAGGGUCAGAAUUGGGGCCAGACCUGUUCAUCAGUAUCUUUACUGAUUAUCUGGAUGAGGGGGAUUGAGUGUACCCUCAUUAAGUUCACAGAUGACUCCAAGCUGGGUGGGUGUUGAUUUGCCUGAGGAUAGAAAGGCCCUACAGAGGGAUCUGGGUAGGCUGGAUCAAUGGGCUGAGGCCAACUGUAUGAGGUUUCACAAGACCAAGUAACAGGUCCUGCACUUUAGUCACAAUAACCCUAUCAAACGCUACAGGUCUGUGGGAGAGUGGCUGGAAAGCUGCAUGGAAGAAAAGGGUCUGGGGAGAUUAGUUGACAGCUGGCUGAACAUGAGCCAGCAGUGUGCUCAGGUGGCCAAGAAAUCCAACAGUAUCCUAGCUUGUAUCAGAAAGACUGUAGCCAACAGGACCAGGAAGAUGACUGUCCCUCUGUAUUUGGCACUGGUGAAUUCACACCUUGACUACUGUUCAGUUUUGGGCCCCUUAUUACAAGAACGAUAUUGAGGCACUGAAGAGUGUCCAGAAAAGGGCAAUAAAGCUGUUAAGGGUGUGGAGCACAAGUCUUAAAGGGAACAGGUUGAGGGAACUGGGAUUGUUCAGUCUGGAGAAGAGGAGGCUCAGGGGAGACCUUCCUGCUCUCCAGAAGUCCCUCAAAUGAGGUUAUAGCGGGGUGGGAGUCAACCUCUUCUCCCAGGUUACUAGGAAAAGGAUGAGAGGUAAUGGCCUUAAGUUGCACCAGAGGAGGUUCAAGGUGGAUAUUAGGAAAAAUUUCUUCUCAGAAGGAGCACUAAUGCAUUGGAACAGGAUGCCCAGGAAAGUGGUGGAGUCACUGUUCCUUGAGGUUUUCAAGAAGAGGGCAGAUGUGGCACUAAGGGACAUGGUUAUUUGGGCAUGGUGGGUUGAUGGUUGGACUUCAUGAUCUUAGCAGCCUUUUCCAAAAUUUAUGAUUCUAUGAUAACUGUUUUCCUCAAAAGCACAUCAGUGUGGGAGAAGAUAGUGAGAAUGCUUAGGUUUAGACAAAUAAUCCUUUAAGUUCCUAAAAAUAACAAAACAUUGGAAUUACUGUCCAGUGGAACACUGAUUUUUACUCAGAUUGGGGCAUCAUUAUAUAAGAUGUGUGUUCUCCAUCACUUAUCAUUCGGUUAAAAGAUUAAGGAUGAUUUUUUGACAGUUUUCAAAGUACAUUCUUUCAGCGGAAAAAUACUAGUACAAUUCCAAUCAUGUCAACUGUAAAAAUGGACAUUCGGCCCUACAUUAUCUGUGUUUGAUACCUCUUUCAUUUCCUUCAUGAAUGUUGAGGCAUUUGUUUCUAUAUCAUCGUCCAUACCUAUUCUGGUAAAAAUUUGCUCUGCAAUUCGAAAAGAGCAAUACUCUGCUGGGACAUAAGAACCUACAAAGCAAGUAAGAUACAAGUUUUCUCAUAUCAGCAUGACAAAUGCCAGUUUGUCUGAAUAUGUCAAUGGGAGAAAAAAAUUUUUACAUUUGGUCUUUAUGCACUGCAGAGAAUGUAUCUUGCUCUAUAAAACUUCUGAGAAUGUAUUUUACCAUUACUUUAUUUAAAAAUAUAUUACAUCGAUUCUACACUUGAACAAUCAGUAAAACCUUGAGAUACCAUAUGUCUGAAGCUAUGUCAGUCUGAAGGGAUGCAAAAGUGAGAAUGACCUGUUGGAUUAAUUUGCCUUUUUGCAGCCAUUGUGAUACUAAGCCCAAGGAAUAGUAAUUUCCACAAAACAAGAAUUAUAUUGCCUUACCAGUCUCUGAGAAUUACUAGUUUUACUGAAAAGAACAGGAAGCUUUGUAGCAUCAAUGAACUUUACUGUCUCCUUUAUCCAUAUUAAAUUCAUGUUUUUGAGAGUAAUUCCUGACAAACUUGCACUUGUUUGGAAUUGGAUCCAAAAAACACAUACCGGACAAAUUUUAUUCUCCACUACUACGUAAUUUCAACCCAUUUAUUUCAGCCCAUUAGAUCCUCUCUCCUGAACUACUGGCCUUAUCUUUCUUUAUCUUUGAGACAAAAAAAAUCACAAAGAAUUCCUAAGUAUAAGGACAAAGCUUAGAUAGUCAGACUUCACAGAUAUUUCACUUUUAUAAUUUUAGUGAUAAAGCAUUGCAAUAUUUAUUGCUUCUUUUAUACGAUCUAUUCAUUCUGCUUGGCUGAAAGCAUGUUUCUCCCCAUAAGCAAAGUAUCCUCAACUUCAUCUCUUCUUUUCAGAUGAUGAAUACAUAUGCAGCCUGUGGACAUUCACUGUUAAGCUAGCAUGAGGUGCUAGACAGUUAGGAUGCUCCAAAAAAAAAAAAAAAUUAAAGCCUCCAACUGUGUUUCUCCUAGUUCAAACUGCCCAGGCUUCCUUAUACACAGAGGAGACCUCAUAAGUUUCCAUGGCAGACCCAAAAUCCUACAGUGGCUUCUUCAGCAACAUAAGCACUGGUAGGAGCAAAAGUAUUUAAAAUUACAUUUUACUAUUUACAUAGAAUCUUAUUCUUUAAGAUAAAUUAUUAGCCUUCAAAAAGAUUUUUAACUAGAAACUAACUAAAGUGCUAAAAAAGUUUAUGGAUAUGGUAAAGUCUUACCGAUCUGCGCCAUAAUCUGACAGAGUGCAAUCUGUUUUAUGUAUGUUGAUUUUCCACUCAUAUUUGGUCCUGUGAUAAUGAGAAAAUUGCUACCUUCUGUCAGAUAUGCAUUGUUAGACACAGGUUUUUCCAUAGCUAUCUUUUCAAGAAUAGGAUGCCAUCCCUGCUUGAUUGCUAAAGUAUCUGUAAAUUCUGGACGAACUAAAAGAGAAGAAGGAUAUAAUAAAGCUUCAUAGAAUUAGUAUGGUAACCUUUAUGUUAAUAAACCAGUGCAUUUUGAAAUGAAGUUCAAUUUUGAAAUGAAGUUCAAAAAUGUUUCAAAAGUGAAGCAUUUUUGAACAGAAGUCAAACUCUGUGGUCUUGAUUCCCUAAUUUUUACUUUCCUGUAGUCAGCAAGACAAAGAUGGAACACUUACAAGAAUUACCAGCUAUCUUCAGAACUGGGCUAGGGAAGCCAGAUGAUGCAGUGAUGCAAACACAACCAAAUUUUUGACCCAGGAUGUAACAAUACGCAGGUAAGCACAUGAUCCUGGAUUCCUCAGAAGAUCCCCCCAAAAGCAUUCAAAAGUGCUACAAAAAAUUGAAGCUGAAAAAUCGAUAGUCACUUAUUUUUCUCUUGAGAUACAUACUUAAUGUUGACCUGUUUAUAUUACCUUGUGUCCUUUCAGGACACUGGAGUAAAUGCAGGAUGUCCACAGACUUGAAAAGAACAUGCUUAAACCAACUAUCGUGAAAAAGACUGGAUAUGAAGGCUUACAGCAGUUGAAUGGAAGAAUAUAAUUUCAAUGCACAGAAAUAGAAGGAACAUCAGCACAAAACUGGCAACGAUAGACCAAAUACAUUUAGAGCCUAGUGAGACCCAGAAGAAUAAAUGACGUGUGCUUAGCAAUUGGAGAACCAGACAAAGCAGCCUGGAUAUCCUCCAACUGGAGGGUCUUUACUUGGUUUUUAACAGAAUGAAAAAAAUAAACUUACCGUAGUCAGAAAUAGUGCAGGCAUGAGCAAAUGAAAGCAGCAUGUCUAGCAUCGACACAAUGUCAGACAGCUUGUAUAGACAAUGAAUAUGUUCAUAGAUCUCAUUCAGCAGUUUACACACUAUUCUUUAAAAAAAAAAGCAACAGUUAAUUAUGUUCAUUCUGCAUACAUUAGGAUGGGAGGUUACUUCAUAAAACAUAAUCACCUCUGACAAAUGCAGGCAAAAAUCUGAAUUUCUUUGAAGUAUAUUAAGAUCUUACACAAUGAUCUCAGAUCAAUUACUGCCAUCAAGUACAAGACACAGCUCAAAUACCAAAAGCAUGUUAUGAAAGCUUCACACAUCGAAUUAACUAAAAACACAGCUGUGGAGUCAAAUAUGUUUUAGUAACAUCCUCAGGGUAACUCUUAAAUUCCCUUAGGCCUUCAUGUUAAUAAGAACAAAACAAACAAAAAAACCCACACAAUUAACCAUACAUGGUUUCUAAAAAGAAAAAAAAGAAAAUUCCACAAAAAUUCACUAUACACCUAGCAAGUUUUCUGAAACAGCAGGUUAACACAACAUGCAGCAGGGUCAAAAAUACAGAUAUAGUCAGCUCUACUGUUAACUCAAAUGAUAAUGAUUCCACAUGACAAAAUUAAGAAAUACUAAAUACGAAGGCUACCAUUACUAAUAAACGUCUACGUCCUUCUAAUCAUGUUCAAUACAAUAUACAGGUUGUGUUACUUCUUUCCUCUCAGGUAAUGCACUUGAUCAUCAACACCACUGAUGACACCGAUCAGCGUUCACCAUGGAUUAUUGCCAUAAGUAACCAUAAUUUAUCAAAAAGGUGGCUUAAAAAAAACCCUAACAUACAAAUAGUUUAAAUAUGACAAAAGAAAUGCAGUUUGCAGAAAUACAUAAUAGUUUUAAACGGUCUUACAAGUAGGUCAUGUGAUAUAUUUCUCUCAGGGAUUCCUGGCAUCUUUCAUUCAUUUUUAUUAAAUCUGCUGAAGUGAAGCUAUAUGUGUUCCUUGUUUUAGUGACCUAUGGGAAAUUCAAACCAACAGUAAGAACUUGCCACAUAAUCAAAAGCCAGAACAGUUUCUAGAAAGCAAUCUGGGAAAAAUAUGGAGAAAAAAAAAGGGGGAAAAAAUAUUUAGGAAAAAAAAAAUUUCCUAAAUAAACUUUCAUGACAAAUCCUUAUAAAAGACAGCAGUUAUCAAUAAGAUACACAGCUUUACAAUUACAAGCAAUGUAGUCCCGUGUAGUUGCAUGAGAAAUGGGGUGGUUGUACCAAUUACACCUUUGUUUACUUCUAGGUAUGUUUACUGAAAUUAUUUUAACUGUUGUUUAAAUUGCUGUAUUAUAUGCUUUGUUAUUGUUGUUAUACAAUUUAUAUACAUUAUAAAAUUAUACAUUUUAUAUACAUUACUCAUAUAAAAAUUUAUUAAUAAAAUACCACCAGUGCAGAUACCUUUGUAAAUUCUGAAGGAAGUUUGCCAUUGGGUAAUGCUGAACAAUCAGCAUUCAUCUGGAUAAAAAAUCCACGCACAGAACUGAAACUUGUUUUCAGUGGUAGGUUGUACUUCUCGGCAAGUUGUGUUAUCAUACCUACACACCACAAAUAACAAUCAGAUCCUAAUUAUAUAGACACAUACACAUUUACCUGUACAAACUGUGGAAAUGAUUCAGACAGGUUGAACAUGUCAGAUAAGUAAAGGACGGACCAAAAGAGUUUUAAAUAUAGAGAUCACAAUAUAAUUGUUCAGCCUCAUUUAGAUAAGAUUGAAUUUUUUUCUACAAACGGAGAACCUGAACAUUAAUAUCAAAAGUACUUCAGUUACACAUCAGUGAUGAACAGCUUAUACUAAUACUAAAUAUGUUUCCCACAUAAAAAGGUUAUGUAACAUAUGAUUACAUGGCCUCUGUAUACUAGAUGUAAUGUACUUUGAACUCCAAGAAAAUAAAAGUCUCAGUUUGGAAAUA